AAGGGAGUGGCAGAUCGGCUGUGCGGUUGAC
This 31-nucleotide transfer RNA is filed under the name Cryptotriton xucaneborum (Sierra de Xucaneb hidden salamander). RNAcentral's name for it is "Cryptotriton sp. MVZ Herp 263575 partial tRNA-Ser". Lineage: Eukaryota; Metazoa; Chordata; Amphibia; Caudata; Plethodontidae. The record is from RNAcentral.